GAUGAACGCUGGCGGCGUGCUUAACACAUGCAAGUCGAACGGUGAACACGGAGCUUGCUCUGUGGGAUCAGUGGCGAACGGGUGAGUAACACGUGAGCAACCUGCCCCUGACUCUGGGAUAAGCGCUGGAAACGGCGUCUAAUACUGGAUAUGUGACGUGACCGCAUGGUCUGCGUUUGGAAAGAUUUUUCGGUUGGGGAUGGGCUCGCGGCUUAUCAGCUUGUUGGUGAGGUAAUGGCUCACCAAGGCGUCGACGGGUAGCCGGCCUGAGAGGGUGACCGGCCACACUGGGAUUGAGACACGGCCCAGACUCCUACGGGAGGCAGCAGUGGGGAAUAUUGCACAAUGGGCGAAAGCCUGAUGCAGCAACGCCGCGUGAGGGAUGACGGCCUUCGGGUUGUAAACCUUUUUUAGCAGGGAAGAAGCGAAAGUGACGGUACCUGCAGAAAAAGCGCCGGCUAACUACGUG
Molecule: ribosomal RNA, 469 nt
Filed under: uncultured bacterium
Lineage: Bacteria
Description: partial 16S ribosomal RNA
Rfam family: Bacterial small subunit ribosomal RNA
Source: RNAcentral